AUUGGACGCUGGCGGCAUGCCUUACACAUGCAAGUCGAACGGCAGCAUAGAGAGCUUGCUCUCUGAUGGCGAGUGGCGAACGGGUGAGUAAAGCAUCGGAACGUACCGUGUAGUGGGGAUAACGUAGCGAAAGUUACGCUAAUACCGCAUACGCACUGAGGUGGAAAGCAGGGGAUCACAAGACCUUGCGCUAUACGAGCGGCCGAUGUCAGAUUAGCUAGUUGGUAGGGUAAAGGCCUACCAAGGCGACGAUCUGUAGCGGGUCUGAGAGGAUGAUCCGCCACACUGGGACUGAGACACGGCCCAGACUCCUACGGGAGGCAGCAGUGGGGAAUUUUGGACAAUGGGGGCAACCCUGAUCCAGCCAUGCCGCGUGAGUGAAGAAGGCCUUCGGGUUGUAAAGCUCUUUCGGCCGGGAAGAAAUCGCACAGGCUAAUACUCUGUGUGGAUGACGGUACCGGCAUAAGAAGCACCGGCUAACUACGUGCCAGCCGCCGCAGUAA
This 503-nucleotide ribosomal RNA is filed under the name uncultured bacterium. RNAcentral describes it as "partial 16S ribosomal RNA". It matches the Rfam family "Bacterial small subunit ribosomal RNA", at positions 30 to 523 of the family's 1533-position model. The record is from RNAcentral.